Salvelinus fontinalis (brook trout) is the source of this 8690-nucleotide long non-coding RNA. RefSeq lists it as uncharacterized. The record is from RefSeq and is a predicted model, not a curated record. Lineage: Eukaryota; Metazoa; Chordata; Actinopteri; Salmoniformes; Salmonidae. The transcript has 2 exons.
AGAAAUUGUAUUAGAUAUUGGUAACUUGUUUUAACAACUUCUCAACAUUACCUAUAAGUUGACACAACAUACACACCCCCUCUUUCUCUUGGACAUAUGCUGGACACAUAGGACAUAUACACGGCACCCACAAUUCCCCUCCCCCAUGAAAAUCACACAGACACACCCAACCCAUGGUUGGACCUCAGGACAAAGAACUCUCAGGAACCAAUGGAACGUGGACACCAGGCCUGAUCAGGACUACCCAAGACCCAGAUCGACCAACCGGAAGGCCGGACUCGCAGAUCUACCUACUUUGCUUGUUGACUAUAUAGUACUGAACAUUUCUGGAAACUGCCUCUUUCCCGGACGAUUCACUAGGAGUCAGACUGAAAGAGCCUUGCUGCAAGAUUUUACUAAGAUAUCUUUACAUGUAAUUAAACUGCCUUAUUAUAAAAUUAUCCACCUCGUCCUAUUGUCUCCUCUUGUUCUCCUGUCAACAGUAAACGUUUUACUAACAGACUUGGAAGCAGAGGAUGGUCAAAACAUAUUUGUAUACGGCCCAAUAGAAAAUCCAUCGGACAGGAGACGAGAGGGAGAAAUUUAUCCAGAGGAGAGGUGACCUUUUCGAGGGAGAAUCGCGAUUCAACACACACAGGAAACUGAUCAAAGAGCUCGAAACUAAAGAGGUGAGCAGAUGCCCGUUUGACCAAAAUCUGUAUAUUGUAUUAUAGCCAAUAUCUAAAUUCAAUGAUCAGGAGUACUGUGGUGAGUGAAUUGUUGCUAAAUUUAUGUGGAAUUGUUUAGAAUUUAAGGCAUUGUGUACAGAUAUCUAAGUAUUAAUAGGUCAAAGACUUAUUCACAUAGUCUGGCACUACGCGGUAUGCUGAUCGAGUAGGUGUACAGUGAAGAAUAAGCUUUAUAACGAUUCACAUAGUCGGGCCAUAUUUGACAGUCGAUCAGGUAGGGGUUACCGUGAAGAAUCCAUAAUUAAAAGAUGGGAUCCAAAUAGCCGGGCAGUAGUUAGAUUUGGCAAAUCAGCUAGGUGUUACCGUGAAGACCCAUAAAAAAAAAAAAAAUAUAUAUAUAUAACGAUUCACACAGUCGGGCCAUAUCUGGCAGUCGAUCAGAUAGGGGUACCGUGAAGAAUCCAUAAUUAAUCUAAUGUGGUUUCAAAUAGUCGUGCAGUAGCUAUACUUAGCUAGGUGUUACGUGAGAAAUCUAAUGUGGUUUCAAAUAGUCGUGCAGUAGCUAUACUUAGCUAGGUGUUACGUGAGAAAUCUAAUGUGAUAUUGCAUGUGUAAGUUGUGUUGUAAUUGUAUGUGUAAGUUGUGUUGUCGCAAUGUGGGGGAUUGAACGUUCCACGAGACCAAUUGCUACUAACUAGCCAUAUGCUAGUUGAGGCUGUGCUAAAGUGACCGCCGUGUCGAUGUGUAUAUAUUGCUGUGAAGCAACUAUUUUCUGCUGAUGAGUUGACCGGAUUUUUCCCUCUCCUGCUGUUGAUAAAUCCCUAAGGGUGAGAAUCAAUUUGAAAAUUAUUAUAGAAGCGCGUGAAUUACUAGUAUAUUGUCCCUGAAGGAAAUUUCUGAAAUGUUUUGGCAAAGUAUUUAAUUAAUCGGAAAAAGUUCAAAUUAAAUCGGAAAAGUUAAUAGAAAUAAUAUCUUUCGAAUUAUAUAUCAUAUAAUUGCCAUUCCAAUUAUAUCAGGAGCGCCUGAAUUACUAGUAUAUUGUCCCCAAAGGAAACUUCUGAAAUAUUUUGCCAAAGUAUUUAAUUAAUUAAAUUAGCGAAAAGCAAUAAUGUUGUUUUUUUAUUAAAAGUACCUAAAACUGUCAUUCCAAUUAUAACAGGAGCGCGUGAAUAUAUUCGUAUAUUGUUUCAAAGAGAAUAUAGCUGAUAUAUUGUUGGAAAACGAAAAUAAUCCAUCGAAUACACGGCAAUAAAAUCCUUUGUCCACACGAGUCGGACACGAGAGUGAGGGAAGAGAGGGGAAGAAAAAUACAUCGCUGGUUUCGAUCAGUGACGGGCUAAAGUAUACAAAGAUAAUAAUAGACCCAGACAUAGCUUAACGACAAAAUGACCACGACUAUCGUCCCCAAACACAAAUUCAACGAAUAUUUAGAUCAGAGAAUAAAAGACAGAGCAGGCGGGAAAUUACACUACAAACCCGUUAAAAAGAUUUGGGAGGAAGUAAGGGAUAGGAUGGACUCAAACAGGUUUUCUUAGUGGAGUCGCCCCAUCAAAAGGGCAACUCCUCAUUAUGGAGAAAGAAUUGGAGGAAGCAGUGAAGCAAGGGAUAGAAUGUGAAGUUGAUAAGAAUAAGAGUCACUUAUAAAAAAAAAAAAAAAAAAAAAGAAGGGACAAAGCAAAGGGAAAAGGCACAGGCUGAGAUGAGAAUAGGUUUAUGGGCAAUUGAGGAAAUUAGGAAAGCUCUCCCUUACCGGAAACCUGAUACGAUGGGAGUGGUCACUGGAGCACCAACUGACACCAAAGAGGGCAGGCCCAAUAAUAAUGAUGGCCCACCUACCACCACAGCAACCCCAUCGGCCCCCACCCAUCUAUACCCAGAACUGCCACAGGGAGAGAAAAAAGCACCACCUCCCUAUUUUCAAAAUCCAUUCACUCAGCAAUCACCUUCCCCCUUCCAGGGCAUGUCUGACGAAUAUGCUCCAUGGCCCUGAAGCUGCUCACCACUAACCUACACUCAUCAUUGACCUGGACUACUGAAGCAUCAAAGGCUUUUGCACUCUUGAAAACAGAUCUCUAAGUGGCAGUAGCCUUAACAGCACCUGACUAAAAAAAAUAAGUUCCAUCUGGAUGUUUCUGAAAAGGAGGGAUUUACAUCAUCCAUCCUUUUCCAGAACCUAGAGGGGGAGAGAAGAGUGUUGAGGUAUCACUCCUCCAAACUGGACUACAUUGAAGAAGGACAAACCACAUGUUCCAGGUAUGUGGCUGCAGUGGCAAAAGCUAUUGGAAAAACAGCCCACAUGAUAAUGUGCCAUCCAUUGGAAAUCCACACCCACCAUGGGGUUGCAGAAUAUCUGAUGAGCAAAGAAUUCACGUUCAGCGCUGAAAGGAAAACGAAAAUCCAGAAUAAAUGCACACAAUCACACAUCACAUUUGUCAACACUGACAAAAACAUGGCAGACGCACUCAAUGCUGAAGGUCUACCCCACUCCUGUGCAGAAAGAGCUGCACAGGAACUGAAACGGAGACCUGACCUGGGGAAUGAACCACUCACCAACACACACAGAUAUGGGGAAAGACAAUGUGACUAAUGGAAAAAGGUACCUGUUAGUUAUGGUAGACAGGUUCUCUAAAUGGGUUGAGGCAAUACCAACAGCAGGGGAGGAUGCAAAAUAGGUCAUUAAGUGGCUGCAAACCAAACUCAUGUGUGUUGUUUAAUGACAAACGCUCCAUGUACCAAUAGGGUCGGAUGUGUAAAUGUCAACUGAUUAAUGGAUGUUGUUUAAUGAUGGGGUUAGUGUACAGGCCACAAUCUCAUAAGUCUCGUGGAACGCGCCAAUCAAAUGUAUGUGCAGGUUUGAAGUUGAUUUGGGUUGAAGUCCUGCCCCUGGCGUUGCUGGCCAUGAUAGCCUCUCCAGGUGCAGGCACCCAUCUCUCUCCUCAUGAGACAAUGGCUGGAGGAGUCAUGCUUGGUCCACCAAGGAAGGGAGGUCAUAUGCCCGCCCUUGAUGUACAACAAAUUGUAAUGUUUGAUAAUUGACGGAACAUUCUGCAGCUCUCUCCACACAGAUUCAUAAGGUCCAACGGGGAAGCAGAAGGGAGAUCUGGCACACGGAAGUUAAAAUUGGUGACUGGGUGGGGUUAAUGUCCACAAGAGAAAGUGGCUAGAACCCAGGUGGAAUGGACAGUACGAAGUGAGGGAGGUUACUUCACACUCAGUCCAGGUCAAAGGUAAAUCAGGCGCACCUUGGCACCACCUCACACAUUGCACUCCAGCCCCAAUCCCUUCUAGAACACUGACAGAAGUCAGAGCUGAUUUAAACAGCUUAAAUUCGAUUCCAAAUGAAGACAUUCCUGACACAGGUGAUGCGGUAUCAAACUCCGCCUCCCCUGAUAAAGGAACCUCGCCCAGUUAGAGGGAUAUUUCUCCCUCCCUGGGCAAGGCUAGGGAUAUCUGGCCCCUUAUUUGACAUUUGGGGUGUCCCUGGGCACUUUCACAUGGUUAAUAGAAUAAACUGUAACCGGAUCCCCAUGGAUGUAUGUCACGGACACUCUAGUCUAACUAGGUAAUAAUAGAUUAAAAAAUUAAAAAAAUCAAAAAUUUAGAAAACAAUAGUUAAAAUAAGAAACUAAUAUGGCUCAAAUUGAGAAGGUUGAAUGAGAGUGGGUGGAGAGCUAUGCAGAGAAUGGACAGAAGAUGGCAGUAUUGUAGCACCCAAAUGGUCUCCCAGCCGACUGGUUGAAUGCUGGUGACAUAAUUUUGUUUUUUGGAGUAAACAUUAAGGUUAAGGGUUUCCGUGUACCCAGAGAUAAGAUAUCUUAAAAGAAUACACUCAUAUGGGAAUAGGAGUUUUACUUUCUGAGUUUUAUUUAGGCAAGGGACUUUGAGAAGAUAAAGGGUUCUUUUGGUAUGUUUAGAUAUGGAACACGAAUGUAGGUGUAACAUUUUGACCUGUUUUCUGUUUCCAUUGCAUUUUCCGGCGACUUGAUCACUCGCGGGGAAAUGUGGUGAGAAUAAUGAGAUUGUGUCAUUUGGGAUACUAGUUUUGAGGUAAAUUGAUUAUAAUAGAGUUUAUAACUCUUGACCAUAAGGUAAGCAUUUGUAUUGGCCAUUAGAAGAUAGAGAUAGGUUAAUUAAGGUUAUGUUAGGACUUUAAAGAUUGACACUAUAAGACCUGUUGUUAUUUUUAAAUCCAUGCAGAUAAAGUCAAAACAGUGAAACACUUAGUUAAUAUUGUAAAGGAACACAUAGAAAAAGGCAGACAGAUGGGUCUACCCCGCACUGUUCAGACCUUGAAGGUUUGAGAGCAGAGUGGGGAGGGUGGACCAGGAAAUGAGCAAGGUAGGCUGUGAAAUAAGAUAGGAGAAAGGGGUUAACAUAUAUAAGCAGCACAGAUACAUUUCAAAGUAGAUAAGCCACUUGACAGAGAAUUGGAAAAGAAUAGAUAUGAAUGUACGCCCAAGGGAGAAUUGGAUAUGCGGGGAAUAAAAGGGACGUUCCUAGAAUAUGAUGUACUAAGUUAUUAUUUAGAGUAGGUAAGGUUGAUACCUGGCCAGAGCCAGGUAUCAAACGAAGGAGGGUACAUUGUGGACUAGGAAAGGAUGGGGCCUAUUGGAUAAUAAACUUAUUUAAAAUUAAACAUUUAUAGCUAAAAAAUUAGGCAUAGAAGUUAAAUAUAUAAUCAGAAAGAACAAAUGAGGAACUGUUUGCUAACCAGACCUGUAUGUCCAAGAGUUUAUACAUUGCAGGUGAAUUAAGGGAGAAGGUGAAUCACUCGACCUGGGGGCAUAUCGCACUUGGAGGGUGAGACACACUGACACUGCCGAAUGAUCACAGAGUUAAGGAGAAGAACUGUUGCUAAUAAAGCUCAGGGGUCAACUCCUUAAUGAAGAAUUCCCUGACCCCGACCUUUCCUCACUGUGUUCGUUCAUAGAAGUGAAAGUGUUGCUUGAUCUCUGGCUGAUGAUGUGUUCUCUGGGAGAGGGUGGGGUUUUACAGGACUGCUUGUAGUCCUGAGCUGUCUGAUCAGGAUACGAUGGGGAUGAUACCAUCGCAGUACUGCCGGAACCACCACCAGUUCCAACGGACCAGGGUUCAGCCGGCCUCCUCCACCACUUCAAGACCAAGUCCCACGCCAUCACCUAAGCUCUCCAAUCUGGUACAGAUAAUAAAUAUAAAAGACAUCUCAGAUAGUGAACAUUUGGGGACUGAAACUGAGUAUGAGGAAAGGGAGAAUAUGUGGUUGACCUACAAAACACUUAAUAGAAAGGACUGUGUCGUAUGUGGACAUGCCAGACCUAUUCUGGCUGCUCACCCAUUUGUCCUAAGUAAUGGGGAAGGUUGGAUGUGCAUAUUGGAAAAGUUCGAGCCAAAUUCAACCCUGUGUAAAACUCUGAGUCUUGUGUUCCCAGUGGUCCCUCCCCAGAAGGUACCGUGGGGAGUUAAGGCAUAUGGGGGAUAUAACAGCUGUAUCCCUGGCACAGGUAGCGGUAUGGACUAUGGAGGGCUCCCUGCUACUACCUGCAUCACUAAUACCACUAGGAACUAGAGGUGUUGCUGAUGUAUGGUGGAUGUGUGGACCUGCCAGGCGAUUAACCCCAUUUUUGAAAGGAAAUUGUCGUUGCUCAUGUGGUUUGGCCAGUCUGAUACCACCAUUGCCUAUUAUUAUAGCUAAUCAACUUCUGGGAGCUACACAGGACACAGAGGCUUGGGACCAACCCAGGAGACGGCAGAAACGUGACGCUCCUUGGUCCGAGGGUACAGAUAACAUGCACACCAACCUGUUGGGGGUCCCAAUAGGGGUCCCCCACGAAUUCCAGACAUUAACCAGGAAUGAUGGCCUGUGGCAUCUGAUGCCCAUCAUUGGCCCAGCUAUUGUUGAUGUUAAAACAAAAGGUCUGGAUCAAUUAUAAACACACCCACACAGGACUUACAGGGAUGGCUGAACAAUUGGAUGCUGCCUCACAAACCAGUAGACACAAUAGACUAACACUGGACAUAAGUCUGGCCAACAAGGGAGGUGUAACAGUGUUGCACGUUUGUUCCUAACAAUACUAGUCCGGAUGGGAGCAUUUCAAAAGCUCUGAGUGGGUUGGCAAGGUUAACAGUGGAGAUGAAGGGUCUUGCAGGUGUGGAGGAGAGUGGACUGUUCCCCUGGCUGGGUGGUUGUUUGGUAAGUACACUGCAAUGAUGAUUACUGGAUUUCUGACACUAGUUGUUGUUUUUCAUUUCUGUGUUGCCUGUAUCAUACCUUGUUUGAAGAAGUUUGUUACAGAUGUGUAAGGAGCCUCUAGUAUGAUGCCGUUGCUUGAUGCUCCAGUUGGAGAGGCUGAUACGAAAACGAGCUUCCGCAGGAGAGUGGGCUGACAGAGGAGGACCCUUGGUUUGCUGUAGUUGAUGUUGAAUGAAUAAAAAGUGAUGUUUGUCCUCCCUGUUGUGAAGGUUUGAAGUUCCCGGGUGGCGACGAGCCCACCUGGUACAGGUUGCAUAGAGGGAUGGACCUGAGGGUUUAACAUAUUCUCGUUUUUUGGUUUACUAAUGUGUGGUUGGCCACUCCAGGGGUAGUUAUUGGAGUGGUCUCCUUUUUGGUCCUUGCUCAAUUACGACUCAACUUACAUUGAUGCUAUUGGUCUCCCUAGGGGGUGCCAGAUGAAUAUAAACUGGCGGACCAAGUGACAGCUGGGUUUGAAUCAUCAUUUUGUUGGUGGUGUACAGUUAAUAAAAAUGUGGACAGAAUUAACUACAUUCAUUUUAAUGUCCAGAAACUGGGCAAUUGGACUCAACAAGGCUUCGAGGCGGUCCAUGGACAAUUGGCAGCUACGUCCUUGAUGGCAUUUCAAAAUAGAAUCGCGGUUGAUAUGUUAUUGGCUGAACGGGGGGGGGGGGUCUGUGCAAUGUUUGGUGAACAGUGUUGUACUUUCAUUCCCAAUAACACAGCUACGGAUGGGAGUCUAACUGUAGCAUUGGAGGGACUUCGUACCCUUAAUGGUAAGAUGAAACAGCAUUCUGGAGUGGACACUACUAUGUGGGACUCAUGGAUGGAUGCUUUUGGUAAAUAUAAGACGCUGGUUUCCUCCAUCCUAGUAUCAAUUUCUGUUUUUGCGGCCAUUCUUGUACUUUGUGGAUGCUGUUGCAUACCAUGUGCGCGCACGCUUGCUAGCCGUGUUAUAACUGCCGCCAUAGACCCUAAUCAGGAAAGGGCCCAAAUGUUCCCAUUGCUUGAUGAUGGGGAAGCUGGACCUGUCUAUCUAUUUGAGGACUAAGAUACUUUUAUGUCACGUCUCUUGUGAGACGUGAAGAGAGGGAAUCAAAAAUUUGUCUUCUGACAAAUUUUAUCCCAUAGCUUUGUCUUUUUAUACUUUUAUGUCACGUCUCUUGUGAGACGUGAAGAGAGGGAAUCAAAAAUUUGUCUUCUGACAAAUUUUAUCCCAUAGCUUUGUCUUUUUAUACUUUUAUGUCACGUCUCUUGUGAGACGUGAAGAGAGGGAAUUAAAAAUUUGUCUUCUGACAAAUUUUAUCCAUUAGUUUUGUCUUUUAUAUACUUUUAUGUCACGUCUCUUGUGAGACGUGAAGAGGGGGAUUUGUAAGAAAUUGUAUUAGAUAUUGGUAACUUGUUUUAACAACUUCUCAACAUUACCUAUAAGUUGACACAACAUACACACCCCCUCUUUCUCUUGGACAUAUGCUGGACACAUAGGACAUAUACACGGCACCCACAAUUCCCCUCCCCCAUGAAAAUCACACAGACACACCCAACCCAUGGUUGGACCUCAGGACAAAGAACUCUCAGGAACCAAUGGAACGUGGACACCAGGCCUGAUCAGGACUACCCAAGACCCAGAUCGACCAACCGGAAGGCCGGACUCGCAGAUCUACCUACUUUGCUUGUUGACUAUAUAGUACUGAACAUUUCUGGAAACUGCCUCUUUCCCGGACGAUUCACUAGGAGUCAGACUGAAAGAGCCUUGCUGCAAGAUUUUACUAAGAUAUCUUUACAUGUAAUUAAACUGCCUUAUUAUAAAAUUA